Long non-coding RNA from Vidua chalybeata, 333 nucleotides. RefSeq lists it as uncharacterized. The record is from RefSeq and is a predicted model, not a curated record. Lineage: Eukaryota; Metazoa; Chordata; Aves; Passeriformes; Viduidae. The transcript is spliced from 2 exons.
AACUGCUGGAGCACUCUCCGCACUCCCUGCUCCUACUGUGCGCAGCCCGUCGUGGUGCCAGCCUCGCUCGGCACGGGCACUUGUCGUCCUCGCUUGGCAUUAACUUUCGACAACAGCCAGCAGAGUGUGCUAUGAACGCUGAGAAAAGAACAUCCUGCUUCUGGGAAAUUUAUAUAUAUCUCCAUAUAUAUUUAUAUAUAUCUAUCUCCAUAUAUAUAUACACAGAUACACAUAUGUACAGAAAUGCAGAUGAAGACAUUUUAAGUGGUUCUAAUACUUGCAUGAGUGGUAGGUAGCUCCUCCCGUCAAUUAAAAUACUUCUCUUGUCACAGA